This is a non-coding RNA of Theobroma cacao (cacao), 630 nucleotides long. NCBI's taxonomy places the organism in Eukaryota, Viridiplantae, Streptophyta, Magnoliopsida, Malvales, Malvaceae. The record is from RefSeq and is a predicted model, not a curated record.
GGUGAGAAAACUGAUAUUAAAGCUUUGCAGGGUUUUGAUUGGCAUUUCGGGUGAUAAAUAUCUAUCGGGACAUCACGACGGUUGUCACGGGCUCGAGGAGAGUACCGAGUCGUGACAUUCGAGAGUAGGCCGGUUGUCACUUCGGUUAAGUGUGAUCCUCGUGCACGAGAUUAAAAGUGAUUGGGCUUAAUUUUGAAAAGUAAGGUAUUGAAAGACCUAGAAUCUGCUUGCAUAUGCUUCAGUAUUUUAGCCAUAUAUCGAGGUACAGAACUCCAAAUGAUACAAUUCUAGAAUCAAUGGAAAGCUAAGAGACAGAGCUACAACUUUUAUGCAGAUCACUUUGCCCGGUUCUGCCUCUAAGAUAGAGAAAAUCGCGUCGGAAAAUGGCUGGAUGUACUGUGCCCGGAAUGAAAAUUUGUAAAGACUGAUAAUUGAUUUUUGAGCCUUUUAUUACACUUUUAAGCCCAAUUAAACCCUAGGUCAGCUUAAGGAACUUUAGGUUUAGUCUAUUAGUAUAAAUAGGAUAUGUUUAAUAACAUUAGAAACAACUUUUGAGACAUUCAAGAAACUAGAAGUUGAGGCUGAAACUUGGAGAUCAAGUCGGCAAUAAUUGUUUUGGGUUCUUCCUUA